Molecule: small RNA, 2862 nt
Filed under: Rattus norvegicus (Norway rat)
Lineage: Eukaryota; Metazoa; Chordata; Mammalia; Rodentia; Muridae
Description: uncharacterized LOC108348454
Source: RNAcentral
GGGAGGGGCGGGGGUGGGGGGAGUGUGCAAAGAAGAGAAGUCAGAAAGAGUGUGGCCAGCUCAGAGAGCCGUGGAGAGACUAGUGUGGACGUUCUACAGGGAAAUAAGCUCAGAGCUUCCACUCCCAGGAGCAGACAGAGCGAUGACACCCUAAACAGCAGGUUGAACUCUGACUGGGUACACGGACGGAUUGGCGGCAAGUAAACAAAAACCUAAACUUGGCACUCCUCAGGAGCGGGUUUUAGUUAGUCAGGAAAAGCUUUAUCUUCCUUUAUCUGCCCCACCCCCCCAUGGUCAACGACAAUGGGCAUCUAGUUCCUUGCUCACCCAAACAGCCUGCCACAGAUCCAAGCCCCAGUGCUAACUCUCAGGCUGUCCUGGCUUGCACCCCCUCCUGUCACUACUUGUGCCCAUAAAACCAACAAUGCCUUUUCCUGCAGCCACUGCUGUCUGCCCCACCCCGCCCUGACCCCUGACUUCAGAGACAGUCUAGAAGCUUGAUUCUCAAAUAAACUGUCUUUCUUCCCACAGAGUGGUCCAGAGUCCAGUGGCUUCACAGUGCCUGGCUUACAGUUCUCUCCAGGUUCCUAUUGCUAAGGGACGUGUGUGCAUGUGUGCACACAUGGGACAGCUCUAGAGCACUGAAGCUCACGGGCCAGCAGAAAGUGAAGUGGGGACACAGAAGAUGCAAACACAGGUUGCCUUUCAUCUGCUAUAGAAAGCUAGUCCUGCAGAGAAUUGUAAGAUGUCAUACAGGUGAAGACAGGUACAAGAUAGAACAAAGCCUAUCAUUGGAUGAGAAGGAAGGAGAAAAAUCUGAGGAGGAGACUGGAACAGAAGGAGACAGAAAGAGGAAGCAGUGGAGAGGGCAUGGAGGCUGAUUCCACUCUGUAUUGACAGGGUUUAAAACCAACCGAGCCAAAACCUGGGCUCGUCCCAAACUCCUGACAGAAGCGUGACUCCAUUAAUGGCUGCACAGAAGGAGGGCAAAUGCACACCAGCAGGCUGGGUGACUAUGUCACUUUCUUCAGCAAAGGUGGAAAGAUGCAGCCAAUCGCAGGCACAUUUGUAAAGAGACCAGUUCAGAGUUUAUUCAAACAAGGACAGGACUCUGGUACGUCCAAACAGCCUGGGUAGGGCUCAUGACUAUGCUUUUGAGCGCCUUCGCUGCCUCACACCUGAGCUUACCUAUACGGUGCUGGCCUGGCCAUCUUAAGGCCACAGAGCACGCAGUGUUUUCAUUAUACCUUCUCAGUGCGGGCUCGAGGUGCCACCUGGCUCCAGCACUCCUGGUCCACUUUCUUCCUUAACUUGGCUGCUCCAGUGUUCAUAUUUCUCCAUUCCCAUCUCUCCCGAGCCUGGCUACUCUACAAGCAUUAAGUACAGCAAGGAGGCUGUAGGGCGAUGUUACAACCAAGCUAGCCUUGUUCUCACUAAACACCUUGUUUGGCAGGAGCACACAGAGUGGGUGCUCUAGUGAGGUUUCUGCUGAUGACGGGAAGACUUCAAUAAGGAAGUUCUCUGAGGGGAAAAUAGUAUUAAAUAACCCGGGAUUGUAUUUGCCCCAAGGCCCAUCAGUGAGUAACAGUUUGAAAAGGCAGACAUUAAAGCUAACUGGACUAAUGGCUCUCUGGAACAUGUUCCUUAAUUGAGCUUGAGGGAGGGGCAGCAAGUGAACCUGGAGCAGGGACUCUGUCCAUUUUGUGCCAGUUUUUACCACAGGGCCAUGAGCCUUGGCCACUGUUCUGUUAUGCCUGGUUGUAGAGGGAAAUAAAAUCAAACCCACUGGCCUACGUUUAGGCAAGAAAACCCAAACUUUUAUAAGAUUUGAAACAGAGUUGGACAUAUUUGGGGAGGGUGGUUUUGAACUCAUUAUCAACAUCAGUGACACAGAGGGGCCACUCCCUCUCCUCCUUAAUCGAGGUUUUGUCGGUGGAAGCUUUUGUGAGGAGCCCAAGUCCCUAGCUGCCCAGCGUAAAGUGUUGUUUUUUUUUUUUUUAGAUGCACACAUAUAAACCUCAAAAUACUUUAAAGUCAACUGUAGCAAAACCCCUUCGCUUCCCACUUCUUCCCACGAGGAGUUGGCUGUAAGAAUCCUAUCAGAAGGCCCAACUACUGGAGGCUCCUAGACCUCUGCCAUGUCUCCAGACCUCUGAGCAUCUAGGAAGGAACUUCUCCAUGGAGUGCUCACAACUGGGACAUAGCACACACAGGUAGGCCAUGCAUGGGCAGUACAUACAGGUACAGCUUUGUCUGUGCCAAUGUAAGCCCAUUCCAUUGAAAGAGAUACAUAACAUCCCCACACAAGUAGACCCAGUGUUUCUUGCAAGACUCAUUGCAAGAGAGUAGUAAGUUAUUCUUCAAGGACACAGAAACCACAGUGUAGUCCCAGGAGCGAGGAGACAGUGGCUCCUGUCACCUCAUAGGUGCUCUUCAUCUCGCUCUGAUGUCAGGAAGGGCAGAAGGACCUUCACACAAGGGACUAUAUCCACUAUUAGCGAACCAAUUUCAGAGGAUUUUUUUUUUUAAAGAACAAAGUGUAAUUCCAACCAGGAGGUGAAACCCACGUGGCUCCUACAUGCAACUCAAAGUUAACGAAAAACCUCGAAAACACGUUGGAAUGGUCACAGAGGAAAAAAAAAAUCCUACAGUUCAAAAAAGGUCAGCUUGGUCACAGAAGGGGAAAAAAACAGCUCAAAGCACUUCACGCAUCUCUCCUGUGCUUCGAGCACGGGAGGGGCCUCGGUCAGAGGGCUGGCCGGCCUGUUACCUUUAAAAUGAUCUCAAAAGCAAAAGUACCCGUGAAGACGUAGUCCGCAUAACCUAGUAUCUGGAAGGAAAGCACAGAGCACAACCAUUACU